RNAcentral lists this long non-coding RNA (1090 nucleotides) under Salmo trutta (river trout). RNAcentral's name for it is "lncRNA (ENSSTUG00000036896.1)". The record is from RNAcentral. Lineage: Eukaryota; Metazoa; Chordata; Actinopteri; Salmoniformes; Salmonidae.
AUCACCCCCCCCCGUCUACAGGGGAACAACGGGUAUAUCACCCCCCGUCUACAGGGGAAUAACGGGUAUAUUACACCCCCCCGUCUACAGGGGAACAGGUAUAUCACCCCCCAUCUACAGGGGAACAACGGGUAUAUCCCACCCCCCAUCUACAGGGGAACAACUGGUAUAUCACCCCCCCCCGUCUACAGGGGAACAACGGGUAUAUCACCCCCCGUCUACAGGGGAACAACGGGUAUAUCACCCCCCCAUCUACAGGGGAACAACGGGUAUAUCACACCCCCGUCAACAGGGGAACAACGGGUAUAUCACCCCCCCGUCUACAGGGGAACAACGGGUAUAUCACCCCCCGUCUACAGGGGAACAACGGGUAUAUCACCCCCCGUCUACAGGGGAAUAACGGGUAUAUUACACCCCCCCGUCUACAGGGGAACAGGUAUAUCACCCCCCAUCUACAGGGGAACAACGGGUAUAUCCCACCCCCCAUCUACAGGGGAACAACGGGUAUAUUACACCCCCCCGUCUACAAGGGAACAGGUAUAUCACCCCCCAUCUACAGGGGAACAACGGGUAUAUCACCCCCCGUCUACAGGGGAACAACGGGUGUAUCACCCCCCCCGUCUACAGGGGAACAACGGGUAUAUCACACCUCCCCCCCGUCUACAGGGGAACAACGGGUAUAUCACCCCCCCGUCUACAGGGGAACAACGGAUAUAUCACCCCCCGUCUACAGGGGAACAACGGGUAUAUCACACCCCCCCCCCCCCGUCUACAGGGGAACAACGGGUAUAUCACCCCCCACCUACAGGGGAACAACGGGUAUAUUACCCCCCGUCUACAGGGGAACAACGGGUAUAUCACCCCCUGUCUACAGGGGAACAACGGGUAUAUCACCCCCCCGUCUACAGGGGAACAACGGGUAUAUCACACCCCCCCGUCUACAGGGGAACAACGGGUAUAUCAACCCCCCGUCUACAGGGGAACAACGGGUAUAUCACCCCCCCGUCUACAGGGGAACAACGGGUAUAUCACACCCCCCCGUCUACAGGGGAACAACGGGUAUAUCACCCCCCCGUCUACAGGGGAACAA